RNAcentral lists this ribosomal RNA (1000 nucleotides) under uncultured bacterium. RNAcentral describes it as "bacterial SSU rRNA". It matches the Rfam family "Bacterial small subunit ribosomal RNA", at positions 356 to 1376 of the family's 1533-position model. The record is from RNAcentral.
GGGGGAUAUUGCGCAAUGGGGGCAACCCUGACGCAGCAACGCCGCGUGAAGGAUGAAGGUUUUCGGAUUGUAAACUUCUUUUAUUAAGGACGAAACUUGACGGUACUUAAUGAAUAAGCUCCGGCUAACUACGUGCCAGCAGCCGCGGUAAUACGUAGGGAGCAAGCGUUGUCCGGAUUUACUGGGUGUAAAGGGUGCGUAGGCGGCUUUGCAAGUCAGAUGUGAAAUCUAUGGGCUCAACCCAUAAACUGCAUUUGAAACUGUAGAGCUUGAGUGAAGUAGAGGCAGGCGGAAUUCCCCGUGUAGCGGUGAAAUGCGUAGAGAUGGGGAGGAACACCAGUGGUGAAGGCGGCCUGCUGGGCUUUAACUGACGCUGAGGCACGAAAGCGUGGGUAGCAAACAGGAUUAGAUACCCUGGUAGUCCACGCUGUAAACGAUGAUUACUAGGUGUGGGGGGUCUGACCCCUUCCGUGCCGGAGUUAACACAAUAAGUAAUCCACCUGGGGAGUACGGCCGCAAGGUUGAAGCUCAAAGGAAUUGACGGGGGCCCGCACAAGCAGUGGAGUAUGUGGUUUAAUUCGAAGCAACGCGAAGAACCUUACCAGGUCUUGACAUCCAACUAACGAAGUAGAGAUACAUUAGGUGCCCUUCGGGGAAAGUUGAGACAGGUGGUGCAUGGUUGUCGUCAGCUCGUGUCGUGAGAUGUUGGGUUAAGUCCCGCAACGAGCGCAACCCUUGCUAUUAGUUGCUACGCAAGAGCACUCUAAUAGGACUGCCGUUGACAAAACGGAGGAAGGUGGGGACGACGUCAAAUCAUCAUGCCCCUUAUGACCUGGGCUACACACGUACUACAAUGGAUGUUAACAGAGGGAAGCAAGACAGCGAUGUGGAGCAAACCCCUAAAAACAUUCUCAGUUCAGAUUGCAGGCUGCAACCCGCCUGCAUGAAGAUGGAAUUGCUAGUAAUCGCGGAUCAGCAUGCCGCGGUGAAUACGUUCCCG